UAGGGAAUCUUCCACAAUGGACGCAAGUCUGAUGGAGCAACGCCGCGUGAGUGAAGAAGGUCUUCGGAUCGUAAAGCUCUGUUGUUGGUGAAGAAGGAUAGAGGCAGUAACUGGUCUUUAUUUGACGGUAAUCAACCAGAAAGUCACGGCUAACUACGUGCCAGCAGCCGCGGUAAUACGUAGGUGACAAGCGUUGUCCGGAUUUAUUGGGCGUAAAGCGAGCGCAGGCGGAAUGAUAAGUCUGAUGUGAAAGCCCACGGCUCAACCGUGGAACUGCAUCGGAAACUGUCAUUCUUGAGUGCAGAAGAGGAGAGUGGAACUCCAUGUGUAGCGGUGGAAUGCGUAGAUAUAUGGAAGAACACCAGUGGCGAAGGCGGCUCUCUGGUCUGCAACUGACGCUGAGGCUCGAAAGCAUGGGUAGCGAACAGGAUUAGAUACCCUGGUAG
This 446-nucleotide ribosomal RNA is filed under the name uncultured bacterium. Its description in RNAcentral is "partial 16S ribosomal RNA". It matches the Rfam family "Bacterial small subunit ribosomal RNA", at positions 355 to 793 of the family's 1533-position model. The record is from RNAcentral.